RNAcentral lists this ribosomal RNA (253 nucleotides) under uncultured bacterium. Its description in RNAcentral is "partial 16S ribosomal RNA". It matches the Rfam family "Bacterial small subunit ribosomal RNA", at positions 524 to 776 of the family's 1533-position model. The record is from RNAcentral.
UACAGAGGUCUCAAGCGUUGUUCGGAUUCAUUGGGCGUAAAGGGUGCGUAGGCUGUGGGGUAAGUCUGGUGUGAAAUCCCGGGGCUCAACCCCGGAACUGCACUGGAUACUGCUUUACUAGAGCACUGGAGAGGGAACUGGAAUUUACGGUGUAGCAGUGAAAUGCGUAGAUAUCGGGAGGAAUACCGAUGGCGAAGGCAGGUCUCUGGGCUGACACUGACGCUCAUGCACGAAAGCGUGGGGAGCAAACAGG